RNAcentral lists this ribosomal RNA (253 nucleotides) under uncultured bacterium. Its description in RNAcentral is "partial 16S ribosomal RNA". It matches the Rfam family "Bacterial small subunit ribosomal RNA", at positions 524 to 776 of the family's 1533-position model. The record is from RNAcentral.
UACGUAGGGGGCGAGCGUUGUCCGGAAUUACUGGGCGUAAAGCGCACGCAGGUGGCUGAGUCAGUCGAUUGUGAAAGCCCUGGGCUUAACCUGGGAAUUGCAGUCGAUACUACUCAGCUAGAGUAUGGGAGAGGGCAGUGGAAUUCCCGGUGUAGCGGUGAAAUGCGUAGAUAUCGGGAGGAACAUCAGUGGCGAAGGCGGCUGCCUGGCCCAAUACUGACACUCAGGUGCGAAAGCGUGGGGAGCAAACAGG